This 503-nucleotide ribosomal RNA is filed under the name uncultured bacterium. RNAcentral describes it as "partial 16S ribosomal RNA". It matches the Rfam family "Bacterial small subunit ribosomal RNA", at positions 30 to 523 of the family's 1533-position model. The record is from RNAcentral.
AUUGAACGCUGGCGGCAGGCUUAACACAUGCAAGUCGAGCGGGGUGAUGGUGCUUGCACUAUCACUUAGCGGCGGACGGGUGAGUAAUGCUUAGGAAUCUGCCUAUUAGUGGGGGACAACAUCUCGAAAGGGAUGCUAAUACCGCAUACGUCCUACGGGAGAAAGCAGGGGAUCACUUGUGACCUUGCGCUAAUAGAUGAGCCUAAGUCGGAUUAGCUAGUUGGUGGGGUAAAGGCCUACGAAGGGGACGAUCUGUAGCGGGUCUGAGAGGAUGAUCCGCCACACUGGGACUGAGACACGGCCCAGACUCCUACGGGAGGCAGCAGUGGGGAAUAUUGGACAAUGGGGGGAACCCUGAUCCAGCCAUGCCGCGUGUGUGAAGAAGGCCUUAUGGUUGUAAAGCACUUUAAGCGAGGAGGAGGCUCUUUUGGUUAAUACCCAGAAUGAGUGGACGUUACUCGCAGAAUAAGCACCGGCUAACUCUGUGCCAGCAGCCGCCGUAA